RNAcentral lists this long non-coding RNA (1309 nucleotides) under Anser cygnoides (Swan goose). RNAcentral describes it as "lncRNA (ENSACDG00005010998.1)". The record is from RNAcentral. Lineage: Eukaryota; Metazoa; Chordata; Aves; Anseriformes; Anatidae.
GUGGUCUCUGUGACUCAAUAGAGGGGGUUGUUGUCAGUCUUUUAUUUAAAGGUCUGCUGACCUAACCACAUAAAGGAAAAUAAUCUUCAGCCUAUUUUUGUGCUAUGAUUAAGUCUGCACAAGCUCCAAAAGCAGACACGACUGACAGUAGUGAAGAGGGUCCUGGGAUAUUUAGUUGCGAUACGCUUCUUCUGUGAAGGUCAUCACUUCUUUCAAUCAGAGUGAAUGAUUGACUCAACGAGAAGUUCAUAUUGCACGACAUACUUUCAGAAAUGAUUCAUGUUAAUGGUAUAUCUCGGGGGAUUGAUGUUGAGCAGAAGCUACAUCUAAAGCUUAAAAAAUGAUUUAGCAAUGUGGAAGCCUACAAACCAGAGCUCACGUAGACACAUUUGAUGGUAAACAUCACAGAAUAAAUACAACUAAAAGUCAUAAAAUUGGAUAGACAAUAAAUCUGACAGUUUAAGACCUUUUGGGGCUCAAAUCAUAAAAAAUAAAAUUACUUACGCAGCCAUUCCUUGAUUCAGCUGUGCAUCUUUUUCUCAGAUGUGAACAGAAGACAUUUUCACACUUUCUGACAGGUUGGAGCCACUCAAGGAAGUAGCUAUGCCAAAAAAAAAAAAAAAAAAAAAAAACACAACGAAGUACAAUAUUGAGGAAACAUUCCUUCCCUCCCCCAGUGCUGUCAUCUGUCCCCACCUUGUUUUACGUGAAACGUAUGCUCAGCAGAACACCACUUAAAACCUUUUUUGGGAUUUGAAAAUACAGUAAUGCCAGCCAUGGAAGGGAAGGCUUCUGCCUCUUGCAGGCCAAAAAAACAAACAAAAAAAAACCACUGUUUUUACUCACUUAAAAACAUUUAUUGGUUAAUGUUGAGCACCUCAAGACCUCAUUAGAGUGUAGAGUGGCCACACUCCGCACUGGAGAAUUUAGAGCUUCUCUGUCAAUGUUUCUCUCUGAUCUGGCUAUCAGUUUUGAGGAGAUGCUGAGCCUGGCAGACGGCUGCCCACUCUACAUUAGGGUGAGGCCACCUCCCACCCGUGGAUUUUCCCUUAGCCCCACUACCACAGACAGACAUCACAGACAUGUGGGAGAUGCCCUGUCUCUCCACCUUCCCCUCAGGAGCAGGCCUUGUGUCCCACAGCCCCGCCAUCCCUCUCAGCCUCCUGCCUCAAUCUCCCCCACCAGCGUGGGCCGGUGCAGGUGCCAAGAUGUCUCCCUUGGGCCUGGAGAAGAGGGAAAACAGCAUGGUUGCGGGCUCCUGCACCCAGCCCAAACCCACCUGCCUCCUGGGGAAGCCCGUGGGACAUAA